Long non-coding RNA from Gorilla gorilla gorilla (western lowland gorilla), 1396 nucleotides. RefSeq lists it as uncharacterized. The record is from RefSeq and is a predicted model, not a curated record. NCBI's taxonomy places the organism in Eukaryota, Metazoa, Chordata, Mammalia, Primates, Hominidae. The transcript has 4 exons.
UGACAAUAGGAAUGAUGUCUUUGAAAGAAGCUCUUUCUUUGGAGAAAUCUCUGAAUCUGGGCCUAGGGUCAGUACUCAGGGAGAACCCAAUCAACAGCAACUACAGUAGGAUGGACUGAAGAGUCUCUUGAGGCAUGGUAGCUGAAAUACAACAUCAUAAUUUUUACUGGAAAAUAGCCACAAUGAAGGAACACCACAAUUUCACCAUGAAAACCAGCACAACCUUACACAGAUGACAAACAUUUCCCCUCAAAACUUGUUAAACUGUAUUUGGGCUGACCAAAUUAACCAGAGAGUUGAUCACACUUAACAAUAUGUGCAGGCAGGACCGAAAAAAGGUGUGGUGCCUUCCAGCCCAUAAAUCAAAGUUUUCUCUUGCCACUGCCAUGUAAGAAGUGCCUUUUGCCUCCUGCCAUGAUUCUGAGGCCUCCCCAGCCAUGUGGAACUGUAAGUCCAAUUAAAUCUCUUUUUGUUCCCAAUUUUGGGUAUCUUUAUCAGCAGCAUGAAAACGAACUAAUACAGUAAAAGAGAACCCUAAUACAACUCGUCUCUGCUAAAACAAUACAAAAAAAGAGCAAGGGAUGGUGGUACACAUCUGUAGUCCCAGAUACUUGGGAGGCUGAGGCAGGAGAAUUGCUUGAACCUGGGAGGUGGAGGUUGCAGUGACCUGAGAUCACACCACUGCACUUCCAGCCUGGGCAGCAGAGCAAGACUCCAUCUCAAAAAAAAAAAAAAGAAAGAAAGAACAUACCUCAGUGUGAUAAGGGCCACAUAUAAGAAUCCUACAGCUAAUAUUAAAUGGGAAAAAAUGGAAAGCCUUUGCAGUAAGAACUAGAAUAAGACGAGGAUGCCCACUUUCACCACUUUUAUUCAACAUAGUACUAGCCAAAGCAAUUAGUCAAGAGAAAGAAAUAAAGGGCAUGCAAAUUGGAAAGGAAGAAGUUGACUUAUCCUUGUUUGCAAACAACGCGAUCUUAUAUUUAGAAAAACCUAAAGAGUCCACCAAAAAAACCUAUUAGAAGUGACAGAUUCAGCAAAGUUACAGGAUAUAAGAUCAACAUACAAAAAUCAGUAAAAUUUCUAUAUGCCAGCAGCCAACAAUCUGAAAAAGAAACCAAUAAAGCAAUCUUACAACAUCUACAAAUAAAAUGCCUAGGAAUAAAUUUAGGAGGUGGAAGACUUCUACAAGGAAAACUACAAAACACUGAUUAAAGAAAUUGAAGAGGAUAAAAAGGGCAAGACAUCCCAUGCUCACUUUUCAGAAGAAUUAAUAUUGUUAAAAUGACAAUACUACCCAAAGCAAUCUACAGAUUUGAUGCAAUUCCUAUAAAAAUACCAAUGACAGUUCUUCACAGAAAUAGAAAAAAAAAUCCUGAAAUUUAUAUGAAAACACGAA